AACCUGCCUGUAAGACUGGGAUAACUUCCGGAAACCCGGAGCUAAUACCGGAUAGUUCCUUGAACCGCAUGGUUCAAGGAUGAAAGACGGUUUCGGCUGUCACUUACAGAUGGACCCGCGGCGCAUUAGCUAGUUGGUGAGGUAACGGCUCACCAAGGCGACGAUGCGUAGCCGACCUGAGAGGGUGAUCGGCCACACUGGGACUGAGACACGGCCCAGACUCCUACGGGAGGCAGCAGUAGGGAAUCUUCCGCAAUGGACGAAAGUCUGACGGAGCAACGCCGCGUGAGUGAUGAAGGUUUUCGGAUCGUAAAGCUCUGUUGUUAGGGAAGAACAAGUGCAAGAGUAACUGCUUGCACCUUGACGGUACCUAACCAGAAAGCCACGGCUAACUACGUGCCAGCAGCCGCGGUAAUACGUAGGUGGCAAGCGUUGUCCGGAAUUAUUGGGCGUAAAGGGCUCGCAGGCGGUUUCUUAAGUCUGAUGUGAAAGCCCCCGGCUCAACCGGGGAGGGUCAUUGGAAACUGGGAAACUUGAGUGCAGAAGAGGAGAGUGGAAUUCCACGUGUAGCGGUGAAAUGCGUAGAGAUGUGGAGGAACACCAGUGGCGAAGGCGACUCUCUGGUCUGUAACUGACGCUGAGGAGCGAAAGCGUGGGGAGCGAACAGGAUUAGAUACC
Molecule: ribosomal RNA, 678 nt
Filed under: Bacillus sp. Pd-E-(s)-m-N-5(11)
Lineage: Bacteria; Bacillati; Bacillota; Bacilli; Caryophanales; Bacillaceae
Description: bacterial SSU rRNA
Rfam family: Bacterial small subunit ribosomal RNA
Source: RNAcentral